GCUGAGAGGAUACAUAAAACCAGAGGGAGGAAAUAUUGGCUGCCUGAAGAGGGUUUUUUCCCCCCUUCUGUGAUAUGAACUGCAAAUAAGCCACUGGACUGCACCACAGAGAGCAACGGAGAUUUAGUCAACUGAGCUCUACUCAGGAAAUGCUCUACAUCAGAAAAUUCAGGGCAUAAUUGUACUUGGCAAUCGAUGUGAGCACACAUUCUGAGUGAACUUGGAAAUUAACCCGGAUCGCCAUUCUUCCUCUCGUCUUUCCAGUGAUAGACCAAGGUAGAGGAAAACCUAAUCCCAUACUUUUCAAAAAGAUAAAAAAGAGAAAAGAAUGAAUCACACUGAAGAUAUCAAAAUGAAAACCAGUCAGCAGCUCAUGGGAGGACAAGUACAGAGACAUAAAUGAGCAGAAAG
Long non-coding RNA from Mauremys reevesii (Reeves's turtle), 411 nucleotides. RefSeq lists it as uncharacterized. Lineage: Eukaryota; Metazoa; Chordata; Testudines; Geoemydidae. The transcript is spliced from 3 exons. The record is from RefSeq and is a predicted model, not a curated record.